CAAUAGCGUAUAUUAAAGUUGUUGCAGUUAAAAGCUCGUAGUUGGAUCUCAGGUCCAGGCUUGCGGUCCACCUUGCGGUGGUUACUGCUCGUCCUGACCUACCUCCUGGUUUUCCCUUGGUGCUCUUGACUGAGUGUCUCGGGUGGCCAGAACGUUUACUUUGAAAAAUUAAGAGUGUUCAAAGCAGGCAAUUCGCCUGAAUAAUGGUGCAUGGAAUAAAUGGAAUAGGACCUCGGUUCUAUUUUUGUUGGUUUUUCGGAACUUGAGGUAAAUGAUUAAAGUAGGGACGAGACGGGGGGCGAUUCGUAUUACGGUGUUAGAGGUGAAAUUCUUGGAUCGCCGUAAGACG
RNAcentral lists this ribosomal RNA (349 nucleotides) under uncultured eukaryote. RNAcentral's name for it is "SSU rRNA". It matches the Rfam family "Eukaryotic small subunit ribosomal RNA", at positions 592 to 937 of the family's 1831-position model. The record is from RNAcentral.